UACAGAGGGUGCGAGCGUUAAUCGGAAUUACUGGGCGUAAAGGGCGCGUAGGCGGUUUAUCAAGUGAGAUGUGAAAUCCCCGGGCUUAACCUGGGACCUGCAUCUUAAACUGGUAGGCUGGAGUACUGUAGAGGAUAGUGGAAUUUCCGGUGUAGCGGUGAAAUGCGUAGAGAUCGGAAGGAACAUCAGUGGCGAAGGCGACUGUCUGGACAGAUACUGACGCUGAGGCGCGAAAGCGUGGGGAGCAAACAGG
This 253-nucleotide ribosomal RNA is filed under the name uncultured Gammaproteobacteria bacterium. Its description in RNAcentral is "partial 16S ribosomal RNA". It matches the Rfam family "Bacterial small subunit ribosomal RNA", at positions 524 to 776 of the family's 1533-position model. The record is from RNAcentral. Lineage: Bacteria; Pseudomonadati; Pseudomonadota; Gammaproteobacteria.